UGGAUUUGGGUGACGACCUUUUUGGAGAUUCGGUACCACAUGCAUUAUGUGUCAAUAAGUGCAUAUCAUAGCAUGAGUCCUAUGUGAAAUGGGUGAUUGGUGAUGAAUUGAGAUGAAUGAAUGUUGAUAAUGAUUGCUCAAUGAUUGAUGUUUGUGAAUGAAUGUUUAUGAUUGGAUAAUUACUCAUGUGAUUGAUAUAUGUUGAUAGGAGCUAUCAAGUUGUGAUAUAAGUAUUUAUGCAUGACUAUUAUUAUUCAAGUGCAUGAUAUUAUUUGAUUUAAUUGUUAUCUGGAUUAUGAUAAUGUAAUGCUUACCCCCAGUGGUUUUAACCGCCUACUUGCCUGUAUGGGUGAGUAGACGUUGUGCAGGAGUAGUCUCGGUGAGUCUUUGCUUGGGAUAUCGGGAGCUUCCUCCGAUAUCGGUGUCGUGUCGGCUCUGAUCUAGGCUUGUCGUGUCGGUCUAGAUUAGGUUGUUUAUAUUUUCCUUUGGAUUAUUAUUUUGUUGAUGACUACCCGUAUGUUUGGGUUUUGAGAUUUAUCUUUGGGAUAUGAUUUAUUUGCUCAUGGCAUGUAUAUAUUUGAUCACUCUGAUUUAUAUUCCGC
This 602-nucleotide long non-coding RNA is filed under the name Medicago truncatula (barrel medic). Its description in RNAcentral is "long non-coding RNA (MTRU_LNC007174)". The record is from RNAcentral. Lineage: Eukaryota; Viridiplantae; Streptophyta; Magnoliopsida; Fabales; Fabaceae.